This is a long non-coding RNA of Ananas comosus (pineapple), 177 nucleotides long. RefSeq lists it as uncharacterized. Lineage: Eukaryota; Viridiplantae; Streptophyta; Magnoliopsida; Poales; Bromeliaceae. The record is from RefSeq and is a predicted model, not a curated record. The transcript is spliced from 4 exons.
UGCUGGUUGGAAGCUUGAGAAGGUUUGCGAAUCACAUUAAGCUCUUUUGGUGACCUGGGAGGCUAGUUUAGAAGGUGUUCUACCCUGAGCGAGAGGGUAAUUGACUCUUGGACUGUCUUCGACUGGCAUUGGAGGGCCUUUUGGAAACUUAAUUUGAGCAGCGUCGAGGCUCCGUUG